GAUGAACGCUGGCUACAGGCUUAACACAUGCAAGUCGAGGGGAAACGGCAUUGAGUGCUUGCACUGAAUGGACGUCGACCGGCGCACGGGUGAGUAACGCGUAUCCAACCUUCCCGUUACUGCGGGAUAACCUGCCGAAAGGCAGACUAAUACCGCAUGUUCUUCGAUGACGGCAUCAGAUUCGAAGCAAAGAUCCGUCGGUAACGGAGGGGGAUGCGUCUGAUUAGCUAGUUGGCGGGGCGACGGCCCACCAAGGCGACGAUCAGUAGGGGUUCUGAGAGGAAGGUCCCCCACAUUGGAACUGAGACACGGUCCAAACUCCUACGGGAGGCAGCAGUGAGGAAUAGUGGUCAAUGGGCGGAAGCCUGAACCAGCCAAGUAGCGUGCAGGAUGACGGCCCUACGGGUUGUAAACUGCUUUUAUGCGGGGAUAAAGUGAGGGACGCGUCCCUUUUUGCAGGUACCGCAUGAAUAAGGACCGGCUAAUUCCGUG
This 492-nucleotide ribosomal RNA is filed under the name uncultured bacterium. RNAcentral's name for it is "partial 16S ribosomal RNA". It matches the Rfam family "Bacterial small subunit ribosomal RNA", at positions 28 to 507 of the family's 1533-position model. The record is from RNAcentral.